Molecule: ribosomal RNA, 253 nt
Filed under: uncultured bacterium
Lineage: Bacteria
Description: partial 16S ribosomal RNA
Rfam family: Bacterial small subunit ribosomal RNA
Source: RNAcentral
UACGUAGGGUGCGAGCGUUGUCCGGAAUUACUGGGCGUAAAGAGCUCGUAGGUGGUUUGUCGCGUUGUCCGUGAAAACUCACAACUCAAUUGUGGGCGUGCGGGCGAUACGGGCAGACUGGAGUACUGCAGGGGAGACUGGAAUUCCUGGUGUAGCGGUGGAAUGCGCAGAUAUCAGGAGGAACACCGGUGGCGAAGGCGGGUCUCUGGGCAACAACUGACGCUGAGGAGCGAAAGCGUGGGGAGCGAACAGG